RNAcentral lists this ribosomal RNA (465 nucleotides) under uncultured bacterium. RNAcentral's name for it is "partial 16S ribosomal RNA". It matches the Rfam family "Bacterial small subunit ribosomal RNA", at positions 28 to 507 of the family's 1533-position model. The record is from RNAcentral.
GACGAACGCUGGCGGCGUGCUUAACACAUGCAAGUCGAACGGAAAGGCCCUGCUUGCAGGGUACUCGAGUGGCGAACGGGUGAGUAACACGUGGGUGAUCUGCCCUGCACUUCGGGAUAAGCCUGGGAAACUGGGUCUAAUACCGGAUAGGAGCCAUCUUUAGUGUGAUGGUUGGAAAGUUUUUUCGGUGUAGGAUGAGCUCGCGGCCUAUCAGCUUGUUGGUGGGGUAAUGGCCUACCAAGGCGGCGACGGGUAGCCGGCCUGAGAGGGUGGACGGCCACAUUGGGACUGAGAUACGGCCCAGACUCCUACGGGAGGCAGCAGUGGGGAAUAUUGCACAAUGGGCGCAAGCCUGAUGCAGCGAAGCCGCGUGGGGGAUGACGGCCUUCGGGUUGUAAACUCCUUUCGCUAGGGACGAAGCUUUUUGUGACGGUACCUAGAUAAGAAGCACCGGCUAACUACGUG